CACGCUGUAAACGAUGUCGACUUGGAGGUUGUGCCCUUGAGGCGUGGCUUCCGGAGCUAACGCGUUAAGUCGACCGCCUGGGGAGUACGGCCGCAAGGUUAAAACUCAAAUGAAUUGACGGGGGCCCGCACAAGCGGUGGAGCAUGUGGUUUAAUUCGAUGCAACGCGAAGAACCUUACCUACUCUUGACAUCCACAGAACUUAGCAGAGAUGCUUCGGUGCCUUCGGGAACUGUGAGACAGGUGC
This 246-nucleotide ribosomal RNA is filed under the name uncultured bacterium. RNAcentral describes it as "partial 16S ribosomal RNA". It matches the Rfam family "Bacterial small subunit ribosomal RNA", at positions 796 to 1041 of the family's 1533-position model. The record is from RNAcentral.